Molecule: long non-coding RNA, 2255 nt
Organism: Triticum aestivum (bread wheat)
Lineage: Eukaryota; Viridiplantae; Streptophyta; Magnoliopsida; Poales; Poaceae
Exons: 2
Source: RefSeq, a predicted model, not a curated record
UGAAGAAUAAGUAAUUCUUCACCCUGGUCGAUCGACCAAGCCAGCCAUACUUUCGGUCCAACCACGCCACGGUCGUGAGAUGGAAAAAAAAAACCACCGUCCCGUGACUGUAAAAUUACAGCAUGGUUGAGCUAAUCUUACGUUUUGGAGGUUGACUCAAACUAGCCCACCUCCACGUCCUUUUCUAGUCCGCCGCGAACAGUUGUUUUUAGUAUUUUCUAAAAAUAAGAGGCCGCGAACGGUUUUGAGAGUAUUGACGGCGAACGGCGGCGAUGUGCUCCACGGGUUGGCUCGAAGGGAAGCCGUCGGUGCAUGGCGGUGUGCUGCUCGGCGGUGUGGUUAGAGGACGGUUGGCUCGAGGUUGUGUUCGUCGCUGGGCAGGUGAUCUGGCGUGAUGUUUGGCGGCUGCCUAGGUCUUGGGAGGCGCCAUGAUUGGUGAUCGCGGCGCAGCUUUGGGUUGUGAUGGCGAUGUCAUGAAACUGCAGUGGGUGGUUGUGCCUGAUCUGCUCCGUGUGUGUAAGUCCAUGGGAGGAGGUGAGCAUCUUCAAUUCUAAUGCUCUCUUUUACAAAUUUUCAUUAUGAAGGGUUCAGUACUAGAUUUGCUGUGUUGUCAUUGUUAUCUGGGAGGUGAUGAUGUGUUUUAUUUUGCAAGAGCUCAUGGAAGAACCGGGAGAUCAGUUGUUAGUCACUGUCGUGCUUCUUCCUUUCUGAAUAAUCUUGGGGAGGGCCAAUGACAGAGUUUUACAUCAGUUUUUGGGGACAGGUAGAAAACAGAGAAGGGAGGGGAUAGGAUCGAGCGCCCACAGAUGAAAGCUGAACCCAUACCGUGUUUCCUUUUGUUUCUUAUUAGGCCCUUGUGCUCCUGGAUUUUUUUUUUGGUCUAAUGGCUGUUACUUGGUGCGUGCGAUGGGAGGUCCAGGAAGUACUUCUCAGCAAGAGCAAUGCCUCUGCAUGUGGCAACAAGAUCCAAGUAGAUUGCUUGAUAACCGACUAUAGGAUUCAUGCCUCUUCUAGCCUGAACUUAGUAAGCUGCGGAAAUAAACAAUAGAAAAGGUAAAGAACCACCACAGGGAUAUGCAACAGUGGGAGUUUUGAGUACUAUCUGGAUGUGUUCUCAGUUCUUUUCUGGUAUAUAUGCUUGUGUGCCUCUCCUACGUACAUGGUGUUUUUUUGGAUAGGUUCGUGAGAUACAAGUGGAUGAUAUUUAUGGAUUGCACUUGGCUUGUCAUGUGUUCAUGACUGCCUGUCAGAGCUGGUAUCCUCAGCAAACUGUUUUUGCUUCUUGUAAAGCGGGGUGUGACAAUUUUGUCUAAAGAAGUAACUUAGAUACCACCUUAUGUGCCGGUGUUUGUGUUCUUGCAUGUAACACUCUGUAACUGCUUCUUUGGAUCACUCUCUAGUGUUUGCACUGUGGUGGGUGGUGGUCGAUUCGCAGCACCGGAGCAGUUGUGCAGGGUCGCGGGUGGUCGUCGAUUCGCAGCACCAGAGCAGUUGUGCAGCGUCGCGGGCGGUCGUUGUGCAGCGUUGUUGGUGGUCCUCGGUGUCAGGCUACGUUGACUAUUGACUUGCUUGUUGAUGUGGUCUGCAUCUCCUCCCACCACGAUGGUCGGCAACCAGGCCUUCACUGCUGGAGCUCUUCAGUAUCGCCCCCUCUACAUAAAUUUGCAGGAAGCCAUAAAGUUUACAGGCACUACUCCCAGCAGGGUUAAGAAAAUCCAUUUUCAAUGGAGUCAAUAUUCUUUAGAAUUUCAUUUUGAUGACUGUCAGGGUCAGGCGCACCAAAGGAUGGACUGUGGUUCCAUGUCCAAAGGGACAAUACUGGACCGGCAGAUGAGCGGGCUCUUGCAGAUGCAACUCCUUCUGCUGCUCAUCAACCUGUCGUUUCAUUCUCUCCUCCUUGGCUAGUCCGUCAAAGGCCACCAGAUGCUUUCCGAACAAGAAGUUUCCUGCAAAGAGAUGGGAGAGGGCAGCGACACCCAGUGAACAUAAUUUUGUUGAUCCUCCAGCAAGUGUGACCAAGAAUGUUGGAUCAAAGCUUUGUUCUGGAAGUUCUAAUCGAUAGUUUCUGUAUUGCAUACAAAGGGUAAUCAAUGCUGGGCUAAAGAUCUCUGCUACAUGUUCCAUGGGUUGAAUAUAACCAAUCAUGUUGCUUAUUUUUAGGAGAAGUUCAGACCUGUGAGAAACCAGAUGUAAAUUACAAAGCUGCUCCUAUUUAUAUAUUUGUAGAUGUUCUUUAUUGUGCCUAGUUGCUGUAA